GAUCUGUGGUCAGAGCCCAGUGGAACUUGGACUUCCCCUAAAACUGUGUGCGAAGUUGCUGUGGAGUCUGCCCUACCCCUAAGUUUAUAUAAGGUCCAUGGCAUUCUGGCUGAAGCUUAGAGCAAAAGUCAAGAAAGUCCAUCAGCACAUGUGGAGUUUCUGUUGCUAUGUUUAUUAGAGAGAGGGGGAGAGAGAAAAACAGAAGGAGAAGAAUUACAAUGUGUUACUCAAAGCUCUUCACCUCAUUGUACCUAAAAGCAGUGAUGCUCCAGUGAAAUGAAGGUUAUAUAAAACACAGGGAUAUCACAGGGAUAUGUACUGUUUAGUUCUUAUCUUCUGCAGGAAAUGGAUGGCAGAACAACACAGAUUUUCCUAGAUGGUAGACGUUUCCACUGCUGAGCAAGUCUGUGGGGCAGCCCUGAGCUCCCGAGGAUCCCCCAUGGCAAACCACUCUCCUGAAGUGCAUGCGCAGAGCCAGUGAAACCUGCAGUUAUACCUCCUCAUGUGAGAAAACAACUGUAUCUCAGCAGAGAGCCUGCAGUGGGUGGAUUCAUCAUACAAACAACAAGAGUGAGCAACGGGAACAUCUGUGAGUGCUGAAUUCAAAUGCUGAGGGUCUGGAAAACUUGGUGAGCAAGACUGUAUUUCAUGUGAUGUGAAAAUGUACCAAAGAGUAAUGGAACUCCAUAGGAAGCACAAGAUUGGUAGUAUGAGGGCUACUUACCCCUUAUGGCACCUGAAUUUCCUGGAUAGCUCAACUCAUCA
Long non-coding RNA from Dromaius novaehollandiae (emu), 765 nucleotides. RefSeq lists it as uncharacterized. NCBI's taxonomy places the organism in Eukaryota, Metazoa, Chordata, Aves, Casuariiformes, Dromaiidae. The transcript has 6 exons. The record is from RefSeq and is a predicted model, not a curated record.